Molecule: ribosomal RNA, 496 nt
Filed under: uncultured bacterium
Lineage: Bacteria
Description: bacterial SSU rRNA
Rfam family: Bacterial small subunit ribosomal RNA
Source: RNAcentral
UCGAACGAGGCUUUUCCCUUCGGGGGAAAGUUUUAGUGGCGGACGGGAGCCUAACACGUGAGGAACCUGCCUUUGAGAGCGGAAUACCGUCUGGAAACGGACGUUAAUACCGCAUAAUGCAACGAGGCCCCAUGACCUUGUUGCCAAAGAUUUAUCGCUCAAAGAUGGCCUCGCGCCUGAUUAGAUAGUUGGCUUGGGUAAUGGCCCACCAAGUCUGCGAUCAGUAGCCGGACUGAGAGGUCGAACGGCCACAUUGGGACUGAGAUACGGCCCAGACUCCUACGGGAGGCAGCAGUGGGGGAUAUUGCACAAUGGGCGAAAGCCUGAUGCAGCGACGCCGCGUGAGGGAAGACGGUUUUCGGAUUGUAAACCUCUGUCUUCGGGGACGAAACAAGACGGUACCCGAGGAGGAAGCCACGGCUAACUACGUGCCAGCAGCCGCGGUAAUACGUAGGUGGCAAGCGUUGUCCGGAAUUACUGGGUGUAAAGGGAGUGU